Molecule: non-coding RNA, 120 nt
Filed under: Bradyrhizobium huanghuaihaiense
Lineage: Bacteria; Pseudomonadati; Pseudomonadota; Alphaproteobacteria; Hyphomicrobiales; Nitrobacteraceae
Source: RNAcentral
GGGAGUUUGGCCUCCCGGAGCCGGCCUUCAGGGGCAGGCUUCAAACCACCUCAUGCUGCCGCGUUCAAAAGGCGCGGUGGUGAGCGAUGAGGAAAAAGGCGGUGAAUGAAACCGUCAGGU